RNAcentral lists this ribosomal RNA (326 nucleotides) under Escherichia coli. RNAcentral's name for it is "bacterial LSU rRNA". It matches the Rfam family "Bacterial large subunit ribosomal RNA", at positions 1 to 354 of the family's 2925-position model. The record is from RNAcentral. Lineage: Bacteria; Pseudomonadati; Pseudomonadota; Gammaproteobacteria; Enterobacterales; Enterobacteriaceae.
GGGUUGUGAGGUUAAGCGACUAAGCGUACACGGUGGAUGCCCUGGCAGUCAGAGGCGAUGAAGGACGUGCUAAUCUGCGAUAAGCGUCGGURAGGUGAUAUGAACCGUUAUAACCGGCGAUUUCCGAAUGGGGAAACCCAGUGUGUUUCGRCACACUAUCAUUAACUGAAUCCAUAGGUUAAUGAGGCGAACCGGGGGAACUGAAACAUCUAAGUACCCCGAGGAAAAGAAAUCAACCGAGAUUCCCCCAGUAGCGGCGAGCGAACGGGGAGGAGCCCAGAGCCUGAAUCAGUGUGUGUGUUAGUGGAAGCGUCUGGAAAGGCGCG